GACAGCCAGGAUGUUGGCUUAGAAGCAGCCAUCAUUUAAAGAAAGCGUAAUAGCUCACUGGUCGAGUCGGCCUGCGCGGAAGAUGUAACGGGGCUAAACCAUGCACCGAAGCUGCGGCAGCGACACUCAGGUGUUGUUGGGUAGAGGAGCGUUCUGUAAGCCUGUGAAGGUGGCCUGUGAGGGUUGCUGGAGGUGUCAGAACUGCGCAUGCUGACAUAAGUAACGAUAAACAGGGUCAAAAG
Molecule: ribosomal RNA, 242 nt
Filed under: Salmonella enterica subsp. enterica serovar Goldcoast
Lineage: Bacteria; Pseudomonadati; Pseudomonadota; Gammaproteobacteria; Enterobacterales; Enterobacteriaceae
Description: partial 23S ribosomal RNA
Rfam family: Bacterial large subunit ribosomal RNA
Source: RNAcentral